Molecule: ribosomal RNA, 403 nt
Filed under: uncultured bacterium
Lineage: Bacteria
Description: bacterial SSU rRNA
Rfam family: Bacterial small subunit ribosomal RNA
Source: RNAcentral
UAGGGAAUAUUGCAAAAUGGGCGAAAGCCCGAUGCAGCAACGCCGCGUGGGCGAUGAAGGCCUUCGGGUCGUAAAGCCCUUUUUGAGGGGAUGAGGAAGGACAGUACCCUCAGAAUAAGCCUCGGCUAACUUCGUGCCAGCAGCCGCGGUAAAACGUAGGAGGCGAGCGUUAUCCGGAUUUACUGGGCGUAAAGCGCGUGCAGGCGGAUUGGAGAGUUGGAUGUGAAAGCUCCCGGCUUAACUGGGAGAGGUCGUUCAAUACUUCCAGUCUUGAGUGCAGUAGAGGGAAGUGGAAUUCCGGGUGUAGUGGUGAAAUGCGUAGAUAUCCGGAGGAACACCAGUGGCGAAAGCGGCUUCCUGGACUGUAACUGACGCUCAGACGCGAAAGCUAGGGUAGCAAACG